GACGAACGCUGGCGGCGUGCUUAACACAUGCAAGUCGAACGAUGAACCAGGGCUUGCCCUGGGGAUUAGUGGCGAACGGGUGAGUAACACGUGGGCAACCUGCCCCUGACUUCGGGAUAACUCCGGGAAACCGGAGCUAAUACCGGAUACGAGCAUUGAGGACAUCCUCGAUGUUGGAAAGUUUUUCGGUCAGGGAUGGGCCCGCGGCCUAUCAGCUUGUUGGUGGGGUAAUGGCCCACCAAGGCGACGACGGGUAGCCGGCCUGAGAGGGCGACCGGCCACACUGGGACUGAGACAUGGCCCAGACUCCUACGGGAGGCAGCAGUGGGGAAUAUUGCGCAAUGGGCGAAAGCCUGACGCAGCGACGCCGCGUGAGGGACGACGGCCUUCGGGUUGUAAACCUCUUUCAGCAGGGACGAAGCGAAAGUGACGGUACCUGCAGAAGAAGCACCGGCCAACUACGUGCCAGCAGCCGCGGUAAUACGUAGGGUGCAAGCGUUGUCCGGAAUUAUUGGGCGUAAAGAGCUCGUAGGCGGUCUGUCACGUCGGAUGUGAAAACUCGGGGCUCAACCCCGAGCCUGCAUACGAUACGGGCAGACUUGAGUGUGGCAGGGGAGUCUGGAAUUCCUGGUGUAGCGGUGAAAUGCGCAGAUAUCAGGAGGAACACCGGUGGCGAAGGCGGGACUCUGGGCCAAUACUGACGCUGAGGAGCGAAAGCGUG
Molecule: ribosomal RNA, 721 nt
Filed under: uncultured Actinomycetes bacterium
Lineage: Bacteria; Bacillati; Actinomycetota; Actinomycetes
Description: bacterial SSU rRNA
Rfam family: Bacterial small subunit ribosomal RNA
Source: RNAcentral